Molecule: ribosomal RNA, 520 nt
Filed under: uncultured bacterium
Lineage: Bacteria
Description: bacterial SSU rRNA
Rfam family: Bacterial small subunit ribosomal RNA
Source: RNAcentral
CCUGCCCUUGACACCGGAAUAACAGCUGGAAACAGCUGCUAAUACCGGAUACGACCUCCGAUGGCAUCAUCUGGAGGUGGAAAGCUCCGACGGUCAAGGAUGGGCUCGCGGCCUAUCAGCUUGUUGGUGAGGUAACGGCUCACCAAGGCUUCGACGGGUAGCCGGCCUGAGAGGGCGACCGGCCACACUGGGACUGAGAUACGGCCCAGACUCCUACGGGAGGCAGCAGUGGGGAAUAUUGCACAAUGGGCGAAAGCCUGAUGCAGCAACGCCGCGUGCGGGAUGACGGCCUUCGGGCUGUAAACCGCUUUCAGUUCCGACGAAGGUAACCUGACGGUAGGAACAGAAGAAGGACCGGCCAACUACGUGCCAGCAGCCGCGGUGAUACGUAGGGUCCGAGCGUUGUCCGGAAUUAUUGGGCGUAAAGGGCUUGUAGGCGGUUUGUCGCGUCGGAAGUGAAAACUCAGGGCUUAACCCUGAGCCUGCUUCCGAUACGGGCAAACUAGAGGGAUGCAGGGGA